UCCAGUGGCCUACCCCUCUACUGGUCCUGCCAACAUGUUGGUGCUAUACGCUGCUUCAAAUAUAAAAUUGGUUUGUCUAUUGUGUGUGCUCAUUUAAUAGCUUAUGAAAGGCCUUUUUGUUAUAUGGCUUUUUUUUUCUAGUUUUAUGAACUUGAUUACUGUAAUAAAGUCUUGUUUGUAGCCAUGUAACUAUAAACAUAGUCUCUUGAUGUCAGUAAAUUUGCAUUUGAUAUAUUAGUUGAUGGAAUUGUUGUUUUAGGACAUUCUUUGACUACUUAUCUGUCCAGCAUCUUAUUAACCUAAAUAUUGUGAUCGUUGUUUGGAAAUCUGUUCUCUGGAAAGAAUAAAAGCAUUUACUUCACAGCUAAUGUGUUUGCAGAUUUGAAAAACAGUUUCAUUAAAGCACCAUUGCUCUCUUU
Molecule: long non-coding RNA, 419 nt
Filed under: Bos taurus (domestic cattle)
Lineage: Eukaryota; Metazoa; Chordata; Mammalia; Artiodactyla; Bovidae
Description: long non-coding RNA NONBTAT018681
Source: RNAcentral